CGGGGGAGAGGCCGCCGCGCAGGGCUGCGGGGCUGCGGGCGCCCCUUCCUCCCGCACCGCCCCGGCCCUGCGUCUGGAGAGCCGUCUGCCGGCCGCGCGGCCCCCGGCCCCCAGGCCGCGGCGCCCGGCUCCCGGCGGGCUCGGGGGAACGCGGGGCUGCGGACGCCGCGGAGCCGUCUGCGCCGACGGCCGUGCGCCCUGGGCCCCCUGUCCGCGCUCCCCCUGCCCAGCCAGUUCUUCGGCGUGAUUCGUUUUCUGUUUCUGGGCACCUUGGGAAUGCCUCUGUGGAAUCAGGCGCUGUUUUUAAAGGACAGGAAGAGGGGAGGGAGGAGAGGAAAGGGAAUCCCCUGUAAAGCCUGCCGUUGACCUUGGCGUGUCCCCGUACGGGCCUCGCCACCCUUCUAACCUCUACGCCCCACAAGCCGACGCUCUCCGAGACCAUCUGCUUCCCUUUCCCUUAACGUUAUGUGAUCUGUACCUCUGUUUUCGGUUCCAGCCCAAUGUGCACCUUCUUUGUGAAGGGUUUUUCAGAGCUCUGUGAUCCCUCUUUUCAAAACCACUAGAACAUACUGCCUGAAACCCAAGCCCGGCCAUACAGUGCCUGCGUUCGUGGCUUGUGUAUCUGUCCAGUUUCGCCCUUUCACUCUUGGAUUGUUCCCUGAAAUUCGGUUUGUCUGCCCAACUAGACUGUGGGCAGUUUGAGGGCAGGACUUCAUCUCCGACGUUUAAACCUCCUUAACACACUUGUGCCAAUAGGAGUUCAGUAAGCAUCUGUCAGCCAAUUCGUUUUAAAGCUUGUGGCCUCAGGCGCCUCGAUGUUUGUCUCCAAAGUUGGAACUUGCUUUAAUUUAGACAAUGCCUUUAUGCAGCAAAUAUCUUUUUUAUGUAAUAAAUGGAAAUUGACAUCUCAAAACUAUCUCCCAUUCAACCGUGCAUGCUCCAAAGGGUUUUUCAGGCACACACCAAUGGAGUUUCAGAAAAAGCCCUGAAGGUUCCAAACCAUGUGCUAACUUGUGAAAAUAAGGACAAACAACUCCCCUCCCCUUGUCCCGGAGUGGUAGAAGGAAUCAAAGAAAGGCUGCAUGGCGGUCCUGUAAUUCAGAGCUCCUCAAAAUCUUGUAAAGGAAGCUGGAAUUUCAAGAAAAGAAUCAAGUUUUUUUUUUUCACUGCAGAAGGGUUAUGAUUGGCUCCCACAUCUUUGAAGGCAUGGAUUCAAAUAAAUCUGUUAUCUCAAUACUCA
This is a long non-coding RNA of Hyaena hyaena (striped hyena), 1240 nucleotides long. RefSeq lists it as uncharacterized. Lineage: Eukaryota; Metazoa; Chordata; Mammalia; Carnivora; Hyaenidae. The transcript is spliced from 2 exons. The record is from RefSeq and is a predicted model, not a curated record.